Molecule: ribosomal RNA, 253 nt
Filed under: uncultured bacterium
Lineage: Bacteria
Description: partial 16S ribosomal RNA
Rfam family: Bacterial small subunit ribosomal RNA
Source: RNAcentral
UACAGAGGGUGCAAGCGUUAAUCGGAAUUACUGGGCGUAAAGCGCGCGUAGGCGGCUGCCUAAGUCGGAUGUGAAAGCCCCGGGCUCAACCUGGGAACUGCAUUCGAUACGGGCAGGCUAGAGUGUGGUAGGGGAGAUCGGAAUUCCUGGUGUAGCGGUGAAAUGCGCAGAUAUCAGGAGGAACACCGGUGGCGAAGGCGGAUCUCUGGGCCAUUACUGACGCUGAGGAGCGAAAGCGUGGGGAGCGAACAGG